UCCCGAUAAUAGCAAAUCAAUCGAAAGGUUGAGACGCAAAGUCACAGAUCUAAAACUAUUAAUUUAGUUAAGAUGGCUGGGCUGCCGAA
This 89-nucleotide non-coding RNA is filed under the name Atribacterota. RNAcentral's name for it is "Candidatus Atribacteria c-di-GMP sequence". It matches the Rfam family "c-di-GMP-I riboswitch aptamer". From Rfam's summary of the family: GEMM was predicted in a large-scale screen for bacterial structured RNA regulatory elements. Genes associated with GEMM are involved in a diverse array of functions, including chemotaxis regulation, signal transduction, secretion and chitin. The record is from RNAcentral. Lineage: Bacteria; Pseudomonadati.